GCUCUUGUGGCCAAGGGGUAAGGCGUCGCACUUGUAAUGCGAAGAUCUGGAGUUCAAAUCUCUACUGGAGCA
Morchella snyderi is the source of this 72-nucleotide non-coding RNA. Lineage: Eukaryota; Fungi; Ascomycota; Pezizomycetes; Pezizales; Morchellaceae. The record is from the annotation of a GenBank genome assembly.